This 274-nucleotide ribosomal RNA is filed under the name uncultured bacterium. RNAcentral's name for it is "partial 16S ribosomal RNA". It matches the Rfam family "Bacterial small subunit ribosomal RNA", at positions 523 to 796 of the family's 1533-position model. The record is from RNAcentral.
AUACAGGGGUGGCAAGCGUUGUUCGGAUUUAUUGGGCGUAAAGGGUCCGUAGGCGGUUUGGAAAGUCGGAUGUGAAAUCCUACAGCUAAACUGUGGAACUGCAUUCGAAACUUCCAGACUCGAGUAUGAGAGGGGUAAAGGGAAUUCCCGGUGUAAGGGUGAAAUCUGCAGAGAUCGGGAAGAACACCAGCCGCGAAGGCGCUUUACUGGUUCAUUACUGACGCUGAGGGACGAAAGCUAGGGUAGCCAACGGGAUUAGAAACCCCAGUAGUCC